CCCUUCACUACGGAAUAGUCCCGGGAAACUGGGUUUAAUACCGUAUACGCCCUUCGGGGGAAAGAAUUUCGGUGAGGGAUCGGCCCGCGUUAGAUUAGUUAGUUGGUGGGGUAAUGGCCUACCAAGACUACGAUCUAUAGCUGGUUUGAGAGGAUGAUCAGCAACACUGGGACUGAGACACGGCCCAGACUCCUACGGGAGGCAGCAGUGGGGAAUCUUAGACAAUGGGGGCAACCCUGAUCUAGCGAUGCCGCGUGAGUGAUGAAGGCCUUAGGGUCGUAAAGCUCUUUCGCCUGUGAUGAUAAUGACAGUAGCAGGUAAAGAAACCCCGGCUAACUCCGUGCCAGCAGCCGCGGUAAUACGGAGGGGGUUAGCGUUGUUCGGAAUUACUGGGCGUAAAGCGCACGUAGGCGGAUUAGUCAGUCAGAGGUGAAAUCCCAGGGCUCAACCCUGGAACUGCCUUUGAUACUGCUAGUCUUGAGUUCGAGAGAGGUAAGUGGAAUUCCGAGUGUAGAGGUGAAAUUCGUAGAUAUUCGGAGGAACACCAGUGGCGAAGGCGGCUUACUGGCUCGAUACUGACGCUGAGGUGCGAAAGUGUGGGGAGCAAACAGGAUUAGAUACCCUGGUAGUCCACACCGUAAACGAUGAAUGCCAGUCGUCGGGUAGCAUGCUAUUCGGUGACACACCUAACGGAUUA
This 697-nucleotide ribosomal RNA is filed under the name Celeribacter sp. RNAcentral's name for it is "bacterial SSU rRNA". It matches the Rfam family "Bacterial small subunit ribosomal RNA", at positions 129 to 862 of the family's 1533-position model. The record is from RNAcentral. Lineage: Bacteria; Pseudomonadati; Pseudomonadota; Alphaproteobacteria; Rhodobacterales; Roseobacteraceae.